UGGGUAACCUACCCUGUACACACGGAUAACAUACUGAAAGGUAUGCUAAUACGGGAUAAUAUAUUUGAGAGGCAUCUCUUGAAUAUCAAAGGUGAGCCAGUACAGGAUGGACCCGCGUCUGAUUAGCGAGUUGGUAAGGUACCGGCUUACCAAGGCGACGAUCAGUAGCCGACCUGAGAGGGUGAUCGGCCACAUUGGAACGGAGACACGGUCCACACGCCGACGGAAGGCAGAGGUGGGGAAGAUUGGCGCAUGGGCGAAAGCCAGAUGCCGCAACGCCGCGGGAGUGAUGAAGGCCUUCGGGUCGUAAAACUCUGUCCUCAAGGAAGAUAAUGACGGUACUUGAGGAGGAAGCCCCGGCU
This 362-nucleotide ribosomal RNA is filed under the name Clostridioides difficile. RNAcentral's name for it is "bacterial SSU rRNA". It matches the Rfam family "Bacterial small subunit ribosomal RNA", at positions 118 to 498 of the family's 1533-position model. Lineage: Bacteria; Bacillati; Bacillota; Clostridia; Peptostreptococcales; Peptostreptococcaceae. The record is from RNAcentral.